RNAcentral lists this ribosomal RNA (253 nucleotides) under uncultured bacterium. RNAcentral's name for it is "partial 16S ribosomal RNA". It matches the Rfam family "Bacterial small subunit ribosomal RNA", at positions 524 to 776 of the family's 1533-position model. The record is from RNAcentral.
UACGUAGGGGGCAAGCGUUGUCCGGAUUCACUGGGCGUAAAGCGCGUGUAGGCGGCCUCUCAAGUCGGGUGUGAAAGCCCGGGGCUCAACCCCGGGAUGCCGCUCGAAACUGGGAGGCUUGAGGACGGAAGAGGGGAGUGGAAUUCCUGGUGUAGCGGUGAAAUGCGUAGAGAUCAGGAGGAACACCCGUGGCGAAGGCGGCUCCCUGGUCCGUUACUGACGCUGAGACGCGAAAGCGCGGGGAGCGAACGGG